Aromia moschata is the source of this 83-nucleotide non-coding RNA. The record is from the annotation of a GenBank genome assembly. NCBI's taxonomy places the organism in Eukaryota, Metazoa, Arthropoda, Insecta, Coleoptera, Cerambycidae.
GGCCGUAGCGAUAGCUCAGUGGGUAAAGCGCCAGGUGCGAAGACUGGCGAUCAUCCGCGCGGGUUCGAAUCCCGCCUGUGUCA